RNAcentral lists this ribosomal RNA (343 nucleotides) under uncultured fungus. RNAcentral describes it as "SSU rRNA". It matches the Rfam family "Eukaryotic small subunit ribosomal RNA", at positions 292 to 636 of the family's 1831-position model. The record is from RNAcentral. Lineage: Eukaryota; Fungi.
GGUUCAUUCAAAUUUCUGCCCUAUCAACUUUCGAUGGCUGGGUCUUGGCCAGCCAUGGUAGCAACGGGUAACGGAGGGUUAGGGCUCGACCCCGGAGAAGGAGCCUGAGAAACGGCUACUACAUCCAAGGAAGGCAGCAGGCGCGCAAAUUACCCAAUCCCGACCGGGGAGGUAGUGACAAUAAAUACUGAUACAGGGCUCUUUUGGGUCUUGUAAUUGGAAUGAGUACAAUUUAAAUCCCUUAACGAGGAACAAUUGGAGGGCAAGUCUGGUGCCAGCAGCCGCGGUAAUUCCAGCUCCAAUAGCGUAUAUUAAGUUGUUGAGGUUAAAAAGCUCGUAGUUG